This 253-nucleotide ribosomal RNA is filed under the name uncultured bacterium. RNAcentral describes it as "partial 16S ribosomal RNA". It matches the Rfam family "Bacterial small subunit ribosomal RNA", at positions 796 to 1041 of the family's 1533-position model. The record is from RNAcentral.
CAUGCCGUAAACUAUGCUUGCUAAGUGUCUUAAGAGACUUGAUCUCUGGGGUACUGUAACCUAACGGGUUAAGCAAGCCACCUGGGUAGUACAGUCGCAAGACUGAAACUCAAAGGAAUAGGCGGGGGAACACACAAGCAGUGGAUGAUCUAGAUUAAUUGGACAAUAAGCCAAAAACCUUACCUAGGUUUGACAUGUAUUUUGUCAUCGGGGAAACUCGGUUAGCGUAGCAAUACGCGGGAUACACAGGUGG